GAUGAACGCUGGCGGCGUGCCUAAUACAUGCAAGUCGAGCGAACAGAUGAGGAGCUUGCUCCUCUGACGUUAGCGGCGGACGGGUGAGUAACACGUGGAUAACCUACCUAUAAGACUGGGAUAACUUCGGGAAACCGGAGCUAAUACCGGAUAAUAUAUUGAACCGCAUGGUUCAAUAGUGAAAGACGGUUUUGCUGUCACUUAUAGAUGGAUCCGCGCCGCAUUAGCUAGUUGGUAAGGUAACGGCUUACCAAGGCAACGAUGCGUAGCCGACCUGAGAGGGGGAUCGGCCACACUGGAACUGAGACGCGGCCCAGACCCCUACGGGAGGCAGCAGUAGGGAAUCUUCCGCAAUGGGCGAAAGCCGGACGGAGCAACGCCGCGGGAGUGAUGAAGGUCUUCGGAUCGUAAAACUCUGUUAUUAGGGAAGAACAAAUGUGUAAGUAACUAUGCACGUCUUGACGGUACCUAAUCAGAAAGCCACGGCUAACUACGUG
RNAcentral lists this ribosomal RNA (497 nucleotides) under uncultured bacterium. RNAcentral's name for it is "partial 16S ribosomal RNA". It matches the Rfam family "Bacterial small subunit ribosomal RNA", at positions 28 to 507 of the family's 1533-position model. The record is from RNAcentral.